UGGGGAAUCUUGCACAAUGGGCGAAAGCCUGAUGCAGCGACGCCGCGUGGGGGAUGAAGCUUCUCGGAGUGUAAACCCCUUUCGACCCGGACGAAUGCCCCGCAAGGGGACUGACGGUACGGGUAUAAGAAGCCCCGGCUAACUACGUGCCAGCAGCCGCGGUAAGACGUAGGGGGCCAGCGUUGCUCGGAAUUACUGGGUGUAAAGGGUUCGUAGGCGGUGUGGCAAGUCGGGAGUGAAAUCUCUAGGCUCAACCUAGAGUCUGCUUCCGAAACUGCUGUGCUUGAGUGUGGGAGAGGCGCGUGGAAUUGCAGGUGUAGCGGUGAAAUGCGUAGAUAUCUGCAGGAACACCCGUGGCGAAAGCGGCGCGCUGGACCACUACUGACGCUGAGGAACGAAAGCUAGGGGAGCAAAC
RNAcentral lists this ribosomal RNA (415 nucleotides) under uncultured bacterium. Its description in RNAcentral is "bacterial SSU rRNA". It matches the Rfam family "Bacterial small subunit ribosomal RNA", at positions 355 to 773 of the family's 1533-position model. The record is from RNAcentral.